Molecule: ribosomal RNA, 48 nt
Filed under: Senega incarnata
Lineage: Eukaryota; Viridiplantae; Streptophyta; Magnoliopsida; Fabales; Polygalaceae
Description: Polygala incarnata partial 26S ribosomal RNA
Source: RNAcentral
AUGCGACCCCAGGUCAGGCGGGACCACCCGCUGAGUUUAAGCAUAUCA